Molecule: ribosomal RNA, 407 nt
Filed under: uncultured bacterium
Lineage: Bacteria
Description: bacterial SSU rRNA
Rfam family: Bacterial small subunit ribosomal RNA
Source: RNAcentral
GAUGAACGCUAGCUACAGGCUUAACACAUGCAAGUCGAGGGGCAGCAUGAACAAAGCUUGCUUUGUUUGAUGGCGACCGGCGCACGGGUGCGUAACACGUAUCCAAUCUGCCCGCGGCUCGGGGAUAGCCCAUCGAAAGAUGGAUUAAUACCCGAUGGCGUGGUCACUCCGCAUGGGGUUUCCACUAAAGGUUUUCCGGCCGCGGAUGAGGAUGCGUAUGAUUAGGUAGUAGGCGGGGUAACGGCCCACCUAGCCUUCGAUCAUUAGGGGUUCUGAGAGGAAGGUCCCCCACACUGGAACUGAGACACGGUCCAGACUCCUACGGGAGGCAGCAGUGAGGGAAUAUUGGUCAAUGGGCGAGAGCCUGAACCAGCCAAGUAGCGUGAAGGAUGACUGCCCUAUGGGUU